RNAcentral lists this transfer-messenger RNA (385 nucleotides) under Corynebacterium sp. 319. It matches the Rfam family "transfer-messenger RNA". From Rfam's summary of the family: Bacterial tmRNA, also known as 10Sa RNA or SsrA, is named for its dual tRNA and mRNA-like properties. Its role is to liberate the mRNA from a stalled ribosome. The record is from RNAcentral. Lineage: Bacteria; Bacillati; Actinomycetota; Actinomycetes; Mycobacteriales; Corynebacteriaceae. RNAcentral also lists the same sequence under 3 other names.
GGGGUCGAUUCUGGUUUCGACUUCGUGUGUUGAGUUAGGGGAAGCGUGCCGGUGCAGGCAGGAGACCACCGUGAGCGUCGCUGCACACCUAUAAGCGCCGAGAACACUCAGCGCGACUACGCCCUCGCUGCCUAAUAAGAAAGGUCUAGCGACCGCGUGUCUGUCAGCCCAGGCCUGUCCCUCGUCUGGAUCCUGGCAUCGUUUUUAGGGACUUGCCUUUCGGUCUUGUUGGUUGGGCCGGAGGGGACUUUCAAACCAACUGGGUUCGUCAUCCUCGCUAGUUCGUGUGACGGGGAGAGCCGAGUAAAGACAACAACGAACUGCGCACGGAGAAGCCCUGGCGAGAUCGCGAAGGACCCGGGUUCAAUUCCCGGCGGCUCCACAG